RNAcentral lists this ribosomal RNA (758 nucleotides) under uncultured Glomeromycotina. RNAcentral's name for it is "SSU rRNA". It matches the Rfam family "Eukaryotic small subunit ribosomal RNA", at positions 339 to 1099 of the family's 1831-position model. Lineage: Eukaryota; Fungi; Glomeromycota. The record is from RNAcentral.
GCCUACCAUGGUGGUAACGGGUAACGGGGUGUUAGGGCACGACACCGGAGAGGGAGCCUGAGAAACGGCUACCACAUCCAAGGAUGGCAGCAGGCGCGCAAAUUACCCAAUCCCGACACGGGGAGGUAGUGACAAUAAAUAACAAUACGGGGUUCUUUCGGAUUUCGUAAUUGGAAUGAGUACAAUUUAGAUCUCUUAACGAGGAACAAUUGGAGGGCAAGUCUGGUGCCAGCAGCCGCGGUAAUUCCAGCUCCAAUAGCGUAUAUUAAAGUUGCUGCAGUUAAAAAGCUCGUAGUUGAAUUUCGGGACCAAUAUGUCGGUCGUGCCUCGGUACGUACUGGCAUCGUUGGUUUCUCCCUUCUGACGAACCAUGAUGUCAUUCAUUUGGUGUCGUGGGGAAUCAGGACUGUUACUUUGAAAAAAUUAGAGUGUUUAAAGCAGGCUCACGCUUGAAUACAUUAGCAUGGAAUAAUGAAAUAGGACGUUUGAUUCUAUUUUGUUGGUUUCUAGGAUCGACGUAAUGAUUAAUAGGGAUAGUUGGGGGCAUUAGUAUUCAAUUGUCAGAGGUGAAAUUCUUGGAUUUAUUGAAGACUAACUACUGCGAAAGCAUUUGCCAAGGAUGUUUUCAUUAAUCAAGAACGAAAGUUAGGGGAUCGAAGACGAUCAGAUACCGUCGUAGUCUUAACCAUAAACUAUGCCGACUAGGGAUCGGAUGAUGUUAAUUUUUUAAUGACUCAUUCGGCGCCUUACGGGAAACA